UACAGAGGUCCCGAGCGUUGUUCGGAUUCACUGGGCGUAAAGGGUGCGUAGGUGGCAUAGAAAGUUUGAUGUGAAAGCUCAGGGCUUAACCCUGAAAUGGCAUUGAAUACUACUUAGCUGGAGGUUUGGAGGGGGGACUGGAAUUCUUGGUGUAGCAGUGAAAUGCGUAGAUAUCAAGAGGAACACCAGUGGCGAAGGCGAGUCCCUGGACAACACCUGACACUGAGGCGCGACAGCGUGGGGAGCAAACAGG
RNAcentral lists this ribosomal RNA (253 nucleotides) under uncultured bacterium. Its description in RNAcentral is "partial 16S ribosomal RNA". It matches the Rfam family "Bacterial small subunit ribosomal RNA", at positions 524 to 776 of the family's 1533-position model. The record is from RNAcentral.